GACUCAAUCUUUUUAGACCCACAACAAGCAAGGUUCACACAAGAAAAUAAAACCGUGGACUUGAGAAUCUUGAUCCAGUUUUUUAACCGUGGCUAGCGGGUCGAACCUAAACGGGACCAUCCUGGCCGUCAGCAGGCCCAUUUGGCCAUCUCUAGAUGGGCGAGCCGUUGCCGUUCCGUGUACAGUAAAGUACCACGUGAGGCUGUGUAAUAAAGAGGACAGGUGGGGCUGCAGCUGCCCUGCCAGUGCCAGAUCAGCUGGAGAAGAAGAGGACGGCUGAAAGACGAAACUGAAAUUUAUACAAAUUAUUAUUACAACAAAACUGUUUUAAAAUCGUAAGACGUUUUAGUGUUUUUUUCUCUAGGUUUAUUUAUUAUGCGCUAUAUAUUAUUAAUGUCAUAUAAUUUGGUUGGUUGGGACUUGGGACGGCCGGACGGGAAAGUAAUAAAGUACUGCAUACUGAAGAGAUGAGGAGGAGUACAGCAGCGAAUGAAUUCGAUUAUCUGAACUUGUUAUUACUAUGAUUAUUGCGUCGCGGUGACAGAUGAUGCAUGGGGUGGGUACGGUAGCAAAACAGGAACACGACUGAAUUCAAGCAACUACAUACAGCACAAGUCGGCAUCAGGCAUAUGAACAGACACAGAUACAGAGACAUGGAUCGUCGUCGGCAAGGAUGACUAGCUAGGUGUUCUUGGUGAUGGCGUAGAUGGCGUAGAUGAUGCCGGGGAUGUAGCCGAGGAAGGUGAGGAGGAGGCAGAUCCAGAACUCGUGGCCGCACCCGUACUUGAGGAACACCCCCAGCGGAGGCAGGAUGAUGGCGAUCAGGAUGUCCACGCAGUUGGCAGUCCCCUCCGACAUGCUGCCGAUGCUUCUUCUUCCUCCUCUUCUUCUUCUCUGCCUUGGCUUGGCUUGGAUGGAUCGGAUUCCUUCUCUCCUUUCGCUUUGCCUCUUCCCUGGCUUCACUUUCACUUUAUAGGCAGGCAGACCUUGGACGAGAGGGAGGGCGAUGGGAUGGCGACAGCUACAUACCAGUCGAGCGAUCUACUAGCUAGUCCGGUGGCACGCAAACGCAACACGUCUCGUC
This 1084-nucleotide long non-coding RNA is filed under the name Zea mays. RNAcentral's name for it is "long non-coding RNA (ZMAY_LNC000445)". The record is from RNAcentral. Lineage: Eukaryota; Viridiplantae; Streptophyta; Magnoliopsida; Poales; Poaceae.